RNAcentral lists this ribosomal RNA (497 nucleotides) under uncultured bacterium. Its description in RNAcentral is "partial 16S ribosomal RNA". It matches the Rfam family "Bacterial small subunit ribosomal RNA", at positions 28 to 507 of the family's 1533-position model. The record is from RNAcentral.
GAUGAACGCUGGCGGCGUGCCUAAUACAUGCAAGUCGAGCGAACAGACGAGGAGCUUGCUCCUCUGACGUUAGCGGCGGACGGGUGAGUAACACGUGGAUAACCUACCUAUAAGACUGGGAUAACUUCGGGAAACCGGAGCUAAUACCGGAUAAUAUAUUGAACCGCAUGGUUCAAUAGUGAAAGACGGUUUUGCUGUCACUUAUAGAUGGAUCCGCGCCGCAUUAGCUAGUCGGUGAGGUAACGGCUCACCAAGGCACCGCUGCGUAGGCGGCCCGAGAGGGGGGUGGGCCGGGCUGGAGCUGAGACACGGUGCAGAGUCGUACGGGAGGCGCCAGUAGGGAAUCUUCGGCGAUGGGCGAGAGCCUGACGGAGCAACGCCGCGUGGGUGAUGAAGGGCUUCGGAUCGUAAAAGUCUGUUAUUAGGGAAGAACAAAUGUGUAAGUAACUAUGCGCGUCUUGACGGUACCUAAUCAGAAAGCCACGGCUAACUACGUG